Molecule: long non-coding RNA, 2323 nt
Organism: Oncorhynchus tshawytscha (Chinook salmon)
Lineage: Eukaryota; Metazoa; Chordata; Actinopteri; Salmoniformes; Salmonidae
Source: Ensembl
UCGAGAUAAUCUUUUUCUAUAAGAGUAAACUGUAACCAGAAGUGUUUUGUAUUUCUAAUAGUCGCUUCCGGGUUAUUGAGAAAUUAUUUUCUGCUAAAGCCAAAUAUUAUUAAUAUACUAAUAAGAUACUUUUCUCUCCGCCCUAAAAGUGAGAGUCGUUAAUUAACAAAGCGGCACGGCAGACUGUCUAAUCAAGGAGGGCUGCUGCCGCGUUCAAAACAACUGGGAACUCGGAAAAAUACAAGGUCGAAUCAUGACGUCAGUGAUCUUCAGGUCGGAACUCCAGAAGAGGCCCGAUUUCAUCAACGGUUCAGAAAUCCAUAUUCCUCCCUAAAAUCUCACCAGAAGGAACAGGUUGAUGGUUUCAGCCAUGGUAUUCUCAUUUUCCUUAUGUGGUUUACCUAACAAGCAUCAGGUGACUAUUUUACAGGAAUACUCAGAUUAAACAUGGAUCGCAAUCUACACGCCGCAUUUUGGUCCGACUCUCCUUCACCAAAAGAGAACUGUUACAGAAUCACCCACCGCAACGGGACCAAGCGGCGUGUCAACAGGCAGGAGCCACCAAAAGAGAACCGUUACACUUUUUCCAAAGCAUCUGGUCUAUAUCUUAACAUUAACAAAUGUGAACUCAUGGCUGUCAAAGAUUGUGACACCUUCAUAUUAUGGUAUUCCAGUAAAAGAAGAACUUACAUAUUUAGGCAUAACCAUUACAAAGGAUCAGAAGUCUAGAGGCUUACUAAAUUUUAACCCUCUUAUUAAAAAAACCCAGAAGAAACUAAAUCAAUGGCUACAGAGGGACUUAUCUUUAAAAGGUAGAGUCCUAAUAACCAAGGCUGAAGGUAUCUUUAUAUCUUGACCGUAAAAUAAGCAAGGAGAUAGACCAGAUGCUUUUCAACUUUCUUUGGAGAAACCGUACCCAUUACAUUAGGAAAACUGUUGUAAUGAACACUUAUGAGAAUGGUGGACUGAAUUUUCUGGAUUUUACUACUUUAAAUAAUACUUUCAAGAUCAAUUGGAUAAAACAAUUCCUAAGAAGACCCACUUCUAUCUGGAAUUUUAUUCCUCAUGUCUUCUCUACUUUUGGUGGCCUUAACUUCAUGUUUUGCAAUUAUAAUAUUGACAAAGUUCCAGUGAAACUUUCUGCUUUUCAUCGGUAGGUUUUCUUGUCAUGGUCCUUAAUUUAUAAACACAAUUUUUCUCCACACAGAUAUUAUAUAUGGAAUAAUCGGGAUAUAUUGUAUAAAAAUACCUCUCUGUUUUUAGAAUAUUGGUUCAGAAAUAAUAUCCUAUUGGUGAGCCAACUGGUAAAUGCAGAGGGUCUUUUACUCAGUUAUAAAGAAUUCUUAUCACUUUACAAGGUCCCUGUAACACCUAAAGAUUUUGCAAUUGUUUUAGAUGCCAUUCCCUCAGGUGUUGCUAUGUUAUUCAGGAACAUAUCAAGACCUGACCCUCAGAGCCUACCUUCUAUUGACCCUGUUGACUCAUCAGUAGGAAAGAUUUGUUUCUCUUUUGGUCCAUUCAACAACCAGCGAUACGAUCCUUGUUUCAGCAGGAUGUUGUAUCUAUACCUUAUGUCAUGCCUUAUUGGAAUGGAUUUAUUGAUAAUAUCUGUUGGAAAAAAAGUUUGGAUGUUGCCACACACAUCUACUUGUUAACAAAAUUAAGGAAGUUUCCUUUAAAAUUAUUCAUAAAUAUUAUCCUGCCAACCACUAUAUGAAGAAGUUUAAGGAAAACAUCAACUCCAAUUGCUCCUUUUGUAAUGACCACCCAGAAACAGUUGUGCAUCUUUUUUGGCAUUGUAUGCAUGUAAGAAAACUGUGGCAAGACAUCAGUAGGUUUAUAAUUGAACACAUUUAUGAAGAGUUUACACUAUUGUGGAGAGAUGUACUGUUUGGAUUCUUUACAUACAAUAGAAAUAAGCGGAAUCAUUUUUAUGUAAUUAAUUUCAUUAUUCUUUUGGCCAAAUUUCAUACACACAAAUGUAAAUUUACAAACAGAAAACCACAUUUUCGUACCCUACAAAAAGAAAUUGAACUGUAUUUUAAGACGGUUAAAUGCUCUACUAACAAAAAAGCUGUUAGAAUUGUAAGUAUAUGCAUGUCCCUUAAGGUCCUUGUGUAAUUGUAAUGUGAUAUUGUACCCCCCUAGCCCCGCCCCUAGCGCGAUUGUCCAUUGUUUGUAAUCUAUGUAUGCUUGUGUUCCCUCAUGUGCUUUAUGUAUUGAUUUGUUGUUAAUAAAAUAUAUAUUUAAAAAAUAUUUUAAAUUUUUUUAAAAGAAGAGGCCCGAUUUCCCGAGUUGGAUGACCGUUCAAAUAGAUUUUCCC